RNAcentral lists this ribosomal RNA (2916 nucleotides) under Salmonella enterica subsp. enterica serovar Javiana. Its description in RNAcentral is "partial 23S ribosomal RNA". It matches the Rfam family "Bacterial large subunit ribosomal RNA". The record is from RNAcentral. Lineage: Bacteria; Pseudomonadati; Pseudomonadota; Gammaproteobacteria; Enterobacterales; Enterobacteriaceae.
GGGUUGUGAGGUUAAGCGACUAAGCGUACACGGUGGAUGCCCUGGCAGUCAGAGGCGAUGAAGGACGUGCUAAUCUGCGAUAAGCGCCGGUAAGGUGAUAUGAACCGUUAUAACCGGCGAUUUCCGAAUGGGGAAACCCAGUGUGACUCGUCACACUAUCAUUAACUGAAUCCAUAGGUUAAUGAGGCGAACCGGGGGAACUGAAACAUCUAAGUACCCCGAGGAAAAGAAAUCAACCGAGAUUCCCCCAGUAGCGGCGAGCGAACGGGGAGGAGCCCAGAGCCUGAAUCAGCAUGUGUGUUAGUGGAAGCGUCUGGAAAGGCGCGCGAUACAGGGUGACAGCCCCGUACACAAAAGCGCAUGUGCUGUGAGCUCGAUGAGUAGGGCGGGACACGUGGUAUCCUGUCUGAAUAUGGGGGGACCAUCCUCCAAGGCUAAAUACUCCUGACUGACCGAUAGUGAACCAGUACCGUGAGGGAAAGGCGAAAAGAACCCCGGCGAGGGGAGUGAAAAAGAACCUGAAACCGUGUACGUACAAGCAGUGGGAGCACCCUUUGGGGUGUGACUGCGUACCUUUUGUAUAAUGGGUCAGCGACUUAUAUUCUGUAGCAAGGUUAACCGAAUAGGGGAGCCGGAGGGAAACCGAGUCUUAACCGGGCGUUAAGUUGCAGGGUAUAGACCCGAAACCCGGUGAUCUAGCCAUGGGCAGGUUGAAGGUUGGGUAACACUAACUGGAGGACCGAACCGACUAAUGUUGAAAAAUUAGCGGAUGACCUGUGGCUGGGGGUGAAAGGCCAAUCAAACCGGGAGAUAGCUGGUUCUCCCCGAAAGCUAUUUAGGUAGCGCCUCGUGAAUUCAUCUCCGGGGGUAGAGCACUGUUUCGGCUAGGGGGCCAUCCCGGCUUACCAACCCGAUGCAAACUGCGAAUACCGGAGAAUGUUAUCACGGGAGACACACGGCGGGUGCUAACGUCCGUCGUGAAGAGGGAAACAACCCAGACCGCCAGCUAAGGUCCCAAAGUCAUGGUUAAGUGGGAAACGAUGUGGGAAGGCCCAGACAGCCAGGAUGUUGGCUUAGAAGCAGCCAUCAUUUAAAGAAAGCGUAAUAGCUCACUGGUCGAGUCGGCCUGCGCGGAAGAUGUAACGGGGCUAAACCAUGCACCGAAGCUGCGGCAGCGACACUCAGGUGUUGUUGGGUAGGGGAGCGUUCUGUAAGCCUGUGAAGGUGGCCUGUGAGGGUUGCUGGAGGUAUCAGAAGUGCGAAUGCUGACAUAAGUAACGAUAAAGCGGGUGAAAAGCCCGCUCGCCGGAAGACCAAGGGUUCCUGUCCAACGUUAAUCGGGGCAGGGUGAGUCGACCCCUAAGGCGAGGCCGAAAGGCGUAGUCGAUGGGAAACGGGUUAAUAUUCCCGUACUUGGUGUUACUGCGAAGGGGGGACGGAGAAGGCUAUGUUGGCCGGGCGACGGUUGUCCCGGUUUAAGCGUGUAGGCUGGUUUUCCAGGCAAAUCCGGAAAAUCAAGGCUGAGGCGUGACGACGAGGCACUACGGUGCUGAAGCAACAAAUGCCCUGCUUCCAGGAAAAGCCUCUAAGCAUCAGGUAACAUCAAAUCGUACCCCAAACCGACACAGGUGGUCAGGUAGAGAAUACCAAGGCGCUUGAGAGAACUCGGGUGAAGGAACUAGGCAAAAUGGUGCCGUAACUUCGGGAGAAGGCACGCUGACACGUAGGUGAAGUGAUUUACUCACGGAGCUGAAGUCAGUCGAAGAUACCAGCUGGCUGCAACUGUUUAUUAAAAACACAGCACUGUGCAAACACGAAAGUGGACGUAUACGGUGUGACGCCUGCCCGGUGCCGGAAGGUUAAUUGAUGGGGUCAGCGCAAGCGAAGCUCCUGAUCGAAGCCCCGGUAAACGGCGGCCGUAACUAUAACGGUCCUAAGGUAGCGAAAUUCCUUGUCGGGUAAGUUCCGACCUGCACGAAUGGCGUAAUGAUGGCCAGGCUGUCUCCACCCGAGACUCAGUGAAAUUGAACUCGCUGUGAAGAUGCAGUGUACCCGCGGCAAGACGGAAAGACCCCGUGAACCUUUACUAUAGCUUGACACUGAACAUUGAGCCUUGAUGUGUAGGAUAGGUGGGAGGCUUUGAAGUGUGGACGCCAGUCUGCAUGGAGCCGGCCUUGAAAUACCACCCUUUAAUGUUUGAUGUUCUAACGUGGACCCGUGAUCCGGGUUGCGGACAGUGUCUGGUGGGUAGUUUGACUGGGGCGGUCUCCUCCUAAAGAGUAACGGAGGAGCACGAAGGUUGGCUAAUCCUGGUCGGACAUCAGGAGGUUAGUGCAAUGGCAUAAGCCAGCUUGACUGCGAGCGUGACGGCGCGAGCAGGUGCGAAAGCAGGUCAUAGUGAUCCGGUGGUUCUGAAUGGAAGGGCCAUCGCUCAACGGAUAAAAGGUACUCCGGGGAUAACAGGCUGAUACCGCCCAAGAGUUCAUAUCGACGGCGGUGUUUGGCACCUCGAUGUCGGCUCAUCACAUCCUGGGGCUGAAGUAGGUCCCAAGGGUAUGGCUGUUCGCCAUUUAAAGUGGUACGCGAGCUGGGUUUAGAACGUCGUGAGACAGUUCGGUCCCUAUCUGCCGUGGGCGCUGGAGAACUGAGGGGGGCUGCUCCUAGUACGAGAGGACCGGAGUGGACGCAUCACUGGUGUUCGGGUUGUCAUGCCAAUGGCACUGCCCGGUAGCUAAAUGCGGAAGAGAUAAGUGCUGAAAGCAUCUAAGCACGAAACUUGCCCCGAGAUGAGUUCUCCCUGAGACUUUAGGUCUCCUGAAGGAACGUUGAAGACGACGACGUUGAUAGGCCGGGUGUGUAAGCGCAGCGAUGCGUUGAGCUAACCGGUACUAAUGAACCGUGAGGCUUAACCUUACA